RNAcentral lists this unclassified non-coding RNA (289 nucleotides) under Hevea brasiliensis (rubber tree). The record is from RNAcentral. Lineage: Eukaryota; Viridiplantae; Streptophyta; Magnoliopsida; Malpighiales; Euphorbiaceae.
AAGAAGCUGAUAAAGCCUAAGCAGGUAUGGAAAAUGGUCGUCCAAAACCCGCUCUUUACUUUCCAAAAUCGUUCUUGAUGAGAGGGUUGAUCAUUUAGUUGAAUAAUGACAGGUAUGAUUUUAGAGGGGUCGGAGGGUAGCUUUUUGUGCUGCCUAGAUAAGGAUUUUGAUGGAGUAGAUGCCUCCGACGGUUGCAGUGCCAUUUAGGGUAGGUAAUUCAGUAUGUGAAAACCCAACCGUAGAUACCCAUUUGGAUAUCACAAGACUUAAGUUAAUGGAAGACACGGCU